This 331-nucleotide small nuclear RNA is filed under the name Otolemur garnettii (small-eared galago). RNAcentral's name for it is "7SK RNA". It matches the Rfam family "7SK RNA". From Rfam's summary of the family: 7SK was discovered as an abundant small nuclear RNA in the mid-70s but a possible function has only recently been suggested. Two independent studies have found that 7SK RNA binds the CDK9/cyclin T complex (known as elongation factor P-TEFb). The record is from Rfam by way of RNAcentral. Lineage: Eukaryota; Metazoa; Chordata; Mammalia; Primates; Galagidae.
GGAUGUGAGGGCGAUCUGGCUGCGACAUCUGUCACCCCAUGGAUCGCCAGGGUUGAUUCGGCUGAUCUGGCUGGCUGGGCAGGUGUCCCCUUCCUCCCUCACUGCUCCAUGUGCGUCCCUCCCGAAGCUGCGUGCUCGGUUGAAGAGGACGACCUUCCCCGAUAGAGGAGGACCAUUCUUCAGUCAAGGGUAUACAAGUAGCUGCGCUCCCCUGCUAGAACCUCCAGACAAACUCUCAAGGUCCAUUUGUAGGAGAACAUCAGGUAGUCAAGCUUCCAAGACUCCAGACACAUCCAAAUGAGGCGCUGCAUGUGGCAGUCUGCCUUUCAAA